RNAcentral lists this ribosomal RNA (118 nucleotides) under Pteropus alecto (black flying fox). The record is from RNAcentral. Lineage: Eukaryota; Metazoa; Chordata; Mammalia; Chiroptera; Pteropodidae. RNAcentral also lists the same sequence under 1 other name.
GUCUACGGCCAUGCCACCCUGAACAACCCGAUCCCGUCUUAUCUCGGAAGCUAAGCAAGGUCGGGCUUGGUUAAUACUUGGAUGGGGGACCACCUAAGAAGACCAGGUGCUGUAGGUG